RNAcentral lists this transfer RNA (89 nucleotides) under Mesotoga infera. Its description in RNAcentral is "tRNA-Leu". It matches the Rfam family "tRNA". Rfam says of the family: Transfer RNA (tRNA) molecules are approximately 80 nucleotides in length. RNAcentral also lists the same sequence under 1 other name. Lineage: Bacteria; Thermotogati; Thermotogota; Thermotogae; Kosmotogales; Kosmotogaceae. The record is from RNAcentral.
GCCGGGGUGGCGGAACUGGCAGACGCAACGGACUUAAAAUCCGUUGGAGCGAGGGCUUCGUGUGGGUUCGAUUCCCAUCCCCGGCACCA